GGAUACCAAGGUCAUCCGGCUGUGACAUCUCUCACUGGUCACCUGGGUGGAUACAUUUGAUCUGGCUGACUAGGUGGGUGUCCUCUUUCCCGCCAUCCCAUAUGUCUGUCCUAAAGCUGUGUGCUCCAUUGAGAGGAUGCCCUUCCCUGCAUAGAGGAGGACUGGUCUCCAGUUGGGGGCAAUGCUUCCUGGCUAGAAUCUCCAAACAAACCCAGUGCUUAUGAAUUCUAAGUUUGAUGAACUCCAAGACUAUUCUCCA
RNAcentral lists this small nuclear RNA (259 nucleotides) under Mus pahari (shrew mouse). RNAcentral describes it as "sRNA (MGP_PahariEiJ_G0008075.1)". It matches the Rfam family "7SK RNA", at positions 1 to 291 of the family's 331-position model. Rfam says of the family: 7SK was discovered as an abundant small nuclear RNA in the mid-70s but a possible function has only recently been suggested. Lineage: Eukaryota; Metazoa; Chordata; Mammalia; Rodentia; Muridae. The record is from RNAcentral.